AUUGAACGCUGGCGGCAGGCCUAACACAUGCAAGUCGAGCGGAUGAACGGAGCUUUCUCCUGGAUUCAGCGGCGGACGGGUGAGUAAUGCCUAGGAAUCUGCCUGGUAUUGGUGUAUAACGUCCGGAAACGGGCGCUAAUACCGCAUACGUCCUGAUCGUGAAAGUGGGGGAUCUUCGGACCUCACGCUAUCUGAUGUGCCUAGGUCGGAUUUGCUAGUUGGUUGGGUAAAGGCCUACCAAGGCGACGAUCCGUAACUGGUCUGAGAGGAUGAUCAGUCACACUGGAACUGAGACACGGUCCAGACUCCUACGGGAGGCAGCAGUGGGGAAUAUUGGACAAUGGGCGAAAGCAUGAUACAGCCAGGCCGCGUGUGUGAAGAAGGUCUUCGGAUUGUAAAGCACUUUAAGUUGGGAGGAAGGGAAGUAAGUUAAUACCUUGCUGUUUUGACGUUACCAAAAGAAUAAGCACCGGCUAACUACGUG
This 484-nucleotide ribosomal RNA is filed under the name uncultured bacterium. RNAcentral's name for it is "partial 16S ribosomal RNA". It matches the Rfam family "Bacterial small subunit ribosomal RNA", at positions 30 to 507 of the family's 1533-position model. The record is from RNAcentral.